This 492-nucleotide ribosomal RNA is filed under the name uncultured bacterium. Its description in RNAcentral is "partial 16S ribosomal RNA". It matches the Rfam family "Bacterial small subunit ribosomal RNA", at positions 29 to 507 of the family's 1533-position model. The record is from RNAcentral.
AGUGAACGCUGGCGGUAGGCCUAACACAUGCAAGUCGAACGGAAGAACAGUAAGAGCUUGCCUUUACGGGUGGCGAGUGGCGGACGGGUGAGGAAUACAUCGGAAUCUACUUUUUCGUGGGGGAUAACGUAGGGAAACUUACGCUAAUACCGAAUACGACCUACGGGUGAAAGCAGGGGAUCUUCGGACCUUGCGCGAUUGAAGGAGCCGAUGUCGGAUUAGCUAGUUGGCGGGGUAAAGGCCCACCAAGGCGACGAUCCGUAGCUGGUCUGAGAGGAUGAUCAGCCACACUGGAACUGAGACACGGUCCAGACUCCUACGGGAGGCAGCAGUGGGGAAUAUUGGACAAUGGGCGCAAGCCUGAUCCAGCCAUACCGCGUGGGUGAAGAAGGCCUUCGGGUUGUAAAGCCCUUUUGUUGGGAAAGAAAAGCAGCAGGUUAAUACCCCGCUGUUCUGACGGUACCCAAAGAAUAAGCACCGGCUAACUUCGUG